GAUGAACGCUAGCGGCAGGCCUAACACAUGCAAGUCGAGGGAGAAGCCCUUCGGGGCAGAAACCGGCGCACGGGUGCGUAACGCGUAUGCAACCUACCUUUCACAGGGGGAUAGCCCGAAGAAAUUUGGAUUAAUACCCCAUAAUAUUGUUGGAUGGCAUCAUCUGGCAAUUAAAACUGAGGUGGUGAGAGAUGGGCAUGCGUCCUAUUAGCUAGUUGGAGUGGUAACGGCACCCCAAGGCUACGAUAGGUAGGGGUCCUGAGAGGGAGAUCCCCCACACUGGUACUGAGACAGGGACCAGACUCCUACGGGAGGCAGCAGUGAGGAAUAUUGGUCAAUGGUCGGAAGACUGAACCAGCCAUGCCGCGUGCAGGAAGAAUGCCUUAUGGGUUGUAAACUGCUUUUAUAUGGGAAGAAUAAGGUGUACGUGUACAUGAUGACGGUACC
RNAcentral lists this ribosomal RNA (447 nucleotides) under Capnocytophaga gingivalis. RNAcentral's name for it is "bacterial SSU rRNA". It matches the Rfam family "Bacterial small subunit ribosomal RNA", at positions 28 to 479 of the family's 1533-position model. The record is from RNAcentral. Lineage: Bacteria; Pseudomonadati; Bacteroidota; Flavobacteriia; Flavobacteriales; Flavobacteriaceae.